Molecule: long non-coding RNA, 1150 nt
Organism: Cryptotermes secundus
Lineage: Eukaryota; Metazoa; Arthropoda; Insecta; Blattodea; Kalotermitidae
Exons: 3
Source: RefSeq, a predicted model, not a curated record
UACUCCUAGACUAGAAUACCAAGUUUCCACCGAUGCGGAACACAGAGUUUCAAGAAGAAGCGAAGAAAAUGAGAAGGAGCAGGAUAAUAGAAGAUAAAGGAAGCGGCUAACAGACGAAUAAGAGAGACGACACUCAUUGGCACCACAGCCGUGUAUUCCGGUAUCCAAGCAACAGGCAGAGACUGCAGUCUGCUCCUUUGUUACUUAUUGGGCUUACUCAUCACCCCUGAAGAUGAAGGCAACAAGUUCUUCAGGUCAUCAAAAUCCGGGCCCUGGUGAUUACACAUGGGAUUUAAUUCUGGAUUUUCUCUUAAGAAGGCUUUCUACUCAAGAAUACAACAGGAUACAUCAAAAUGUAAUUGGAAGACUAAUUGCACCGAAAGAUUGGCAUAGGCAGAAAAAAAAAGUAAAAUCUUCGCUGUUCUUAAUUCAGAACAAGAUCCCCGGUGCGAUUGCAUAGAAUGCUCAGUCGGUCAAGAAGCCGAUACUGAUUCUGUGGAGAAGAGAAAAAUCUGUGACUCUGCUGGAAACCAAACCCACGUUCGAGCCUAGUCAUUAUACUGACUGAGAUUGGAAGUGUAAUUUGGAGAAAAAAAUAUGCAUGUUUAAGAAGUUAAUUGCCUUAAGGGGCGAAAAAUAAUUUACCGACUCAGAAAUUUACCCUCCCCCCGUGAGAGUCAAAAAAUAUCCAGCGGCAUGAUAAUGCAGAACCGGUUUCAAUUUGGGAAAUUCAAAUAAAUUAAUUUAAUUUGAAUCCAUAAAUUUGGACAAAUAUUAUAUGGAGCUGAACACUUUCUUCACAGAGAAAUGUGUAGGUUCUCUUAAUUAUGGUCAUAACAAAUCCACAAGUCCAAGUAUAAAACACACUCUACAACAGAGAACAAUAAAUUACUAUUAGUACUGUCACGUAUAUGAGUGAAGGGGUUUGGAUUGGUAACUGGAUUUAUUGAACACUUACGCAUCGUAACUACAACUAACUACAGCGCUUUCGCUAAUUCACACGCUCUGCAGUUGGCUACAGAAAGAACUCAGUCUUUCAGUAUGCUGUAUCAUCACCAGUCGUUGCCUGGUAACGACUUUAGCAAAGGACGUUACCCUUCCUCGGGGUUCCCGAUGCCUCGGCUAGCAGCUUCUAACAGCAACAGCUUAC